This 656-nucleotide long non-coding RNA is filed under the name Aplysia californica (California sea hare). RNAcentral's name for it is "uncharacterized LOC106013321". The record is from RNAcentral. Lineage: Eukaryota; Metazoa; Mollusca; Gastropoda; Aplysiida; Aplysiidae.
CUGUCUGCAGUUUGAAGUGUGUUGACUCACUACAUUUAGUUUGAGACGAUUUGCAAGUUAUCCAGAACAAUUGUUUGGCUGUCGAGUCGCUUUUCUGAAGAUUUCACGUCGAUCUUUAGUAUCUUUGUCUUCCAGAGAUCGAUUCGUUCCUGUACUGAAGUAGAAGAGUCCUGCCUUCUCUUUGUCCUUGCCGCUGCCAUGGGGAAUUUUGCGUCACUUCUCCCAGAUGAAUCAGUAAUAGAGUGUAUUGACUUGGUGGAAGGUCAGUUCUAUGGCCUGGAAGGACCGCACAUGUUCUUGGGAUUUGAGGCGUUCCACCAGAGGACGGAGAGACACGUUGGACCGGCAAGAGAGGACGAGUCACUGGAGAGCCAGUCAUGAAGCCGGAAGACGUGGUCACUCAGCAGACCUAAAGCCAAGACUGGCCUGAGCUGGAUUUCCGGCAGAGACUGCCACAGUUCCCCUUCCCCAUUCCCUCCCUUGCAGAAGUUGGAAGUACUGGGCCUCAUCAAGGCGCAAGGGUGAACACCUUGUUCCAACCACAAGACACAUGUCAUGCUGAAACAGGAGCAGACUGUGUGGAGAGGUUUGAGCUGGGUGGCCAACACAGUACUACACUCACCAGUGUGAAGGAUGAAUGGAGAGUCUAUAGGCAA